Molecule: ribosomal RNA, 263 nt
Filed under: uncultured bacterium
Lineage: Bacteria
Description: partial 16S ribosomal RNA
Rfam family: Bacterial small subunit ribosomal RNA
Source: RNAcentral
GUCCACGCGGUAAACGAUGAAUGUUAGGUGUUGCGGGUAUCGACCCCUGCAGUGCCGGAGUAAACACAAUAAACAUUCCGCCUGGGGAGUACGGCCGCAAGGUUGAAACUCAAAGGAAUUGACGGGGGCCCGCACAAGCAGCGGAGCAUGUUGUUUAAUUCGAAGCAACGCGAAGAACCUUACCAGGUCUUGACAUCGGAUUAAAGCCCAAGAGAUUGGGUGUGACUUCGGUCGAAUCCAGACAGGUGGUGCAUGGUUGUCGU